GGCAGGAUGGCCGAGUGGUUAUGGCGGAGGGUUCAAGUCACUGACUUGUCUCGUGUCUAACACGGAGAUUUCCUCUGGAGCAAUCCGCAGGGGUUCGAAUCCCCUUCCUGUCA
This is a non-coding RNA of Hypoxylon sp. FL1857, 113 nucleotides long. The record is from the annotation of a GenBank genome assembly. Lineage: Eukaryota; Fungi; Ascomycota; Sordariomycetes; Xylariales; Hypoxylaceae.